GCCUGUAUCGAAAGUGUCGUCGGCGCGCCCGUCGCCUUCGUCAUUGAUAGUGCAGGUAGAGGAAAUCGCCGCCGGCCUUUCCCGUGUCUGCUGGACCGCCGCUUCCCGUCAGACCCUGGCGCCGGCGCACA
Molecule: small nucleolar RNA, 131 nt
Organism: Phyllopteryx taeniolatus (common seadragon)
Lineage: Eukaryota; Metazoa; Chordata; Actinopteri; Syngnathiformes; Syngnathidae
Product: small nucleolar RNA SNORA71
Exons: 1
Source: RefSeq, a predicted model, not a curated record